AUUGAACGCUGGCGGCAUGCUUUACACAUGCAAGUCGAACGGUAACAGGCCGCACGGUGCUGACGAGUGGCGAACGGGUGAGUAAUGCAUCGGAACGUGCCCAGUCGUGGGGGAUAACGCAGCGAAAGCUGUGCUAAUACCGCAUACGAUCUAUGGAUGAAAGCGGGGGACCGUAAGGCCUCGCGCGAUUGGAGCGGCCGAUGUCAGAUUAGGUAGUUGGUGGGGUAAAGGCUCACCAAGCCAACGAUCUGUAGCUGGUCGGAGAGGACGACCGGCCCGACUGGGACUGAGACAGCGCCCAGACUCCUACGGGAGGCAGCAGUGGGGAAUUUUGAGCAAUGGGCGCAAGCCUGAUCCAGCAAUGCCGCGUGCAGGAAGAAGGCCUUCGGGUUGUAAACUGCUUUUGUACGGAGCGAAAAGGUCUCCUCUAAUACAGGGGGCUCAUGACGGUACCGUAAGAAUAAGCACCGGCUAACUACGUGCCAGCCGCCGCCGUAA
This 498-nucleotide ribosomal RNA is filed under the name uncultured bacterium. RNAcentral's name for it is "partial 16S ribosomal RNA". It matches the Rfam family "Bacterial small subunit ribosomal RNA", at positions 29 to 523 of the family's 1533-position model. The record is from RNAcentral.